RNAcentral lists this ribosomal RNA (507 nucleotides) under Lasiodiplodia theobromae. Its description in RNAcentral is "eukaryotic LSU rRNA". The stretch from base 133 to 286 matches the Rfam family "5.8S ribosomal RNA". The record is from RNAcentral. Lineage: Eukaryota; Fungi; Ascomycota; Dothideomycetes; Botryosphaeriales; Botryosphaeriaceae.
UUUUUCUGGCUUCGGCUCGAUCUCACACCCUUUGUGAACGUACCUCUGUUGCUUUGGCGGCUCCGGCCGCCAAAGGACCUCCAAACUCCAGUCAGUAAACGCAGACGUCUGAUAAACAAGUUAAUAAACUAAAACUUUCAACAACGGAUCUCUUGGUUCUGGCAUCGAUGAAGAACGCAGCGAAAUGCGAUAAGUAAUGUGAAUUGCAGAAUUCAGUGAAUCAUCGAAUCUUUGAACGCACAUUGCGCCCCUUGGUAUUCCGGGGGGCAUGCCUGUUCGAGCGUCAUUACAACCCUCAAGCUCUGCUUGGAAUUGGGCACCGUCCUCACUGCGGACGCGCCUCAAAGACCUCGGCGGUGGCUGUUCAGCCCUCAAGCGUAAUAGAAUACACCUCGCUUUGGAGUGGUUGGCGUCGCCCGCCGGACGAACCUUCUGAACUUUUCUCAAGGUUGACCUCGGAUCAGUAGGGAUACCCGCUGAACUUAAGCAUAUCAGUAAGCGGAGGAA